Molecule: ribosomal RNA, 440 nt
Filed under: uncultured bacterium
Lineage: Bacteria
Description: partial 16S ribosomal RNA
Rfam family: Bacterial small subunit ribosomal RNA
Source: RNAcentral
CCUACGGGAGGCAGCAGUGGGGAAUAUUGCACAAUGGGGGAAACCCUGAUGCAGCGACGCCGCGUGAGUGAAGAAGUAAUUCGUUAUGUAAAGCUCUAUCAGCAGGGAAGAAAAUGACGGUACCUGAGUAAGAAGCCCCGGCUAACUACGUGCCAGCAGCCGCGGUAAUAAGUAGGGGGCAAGCGUUAUCCGGAUUUACUGGGUGUAAAGGGAGAGUAGACGGCAGUGCAAGUCUGGAGUGAAAGGCGGGGGCUCAACCCCCGGACUGCUCUGGAAACUGUACGGCUGGAGUGCAGGAGAGGUAAGUGGAAUUCCUAGUGUAGCGGUGAAAUGCGUAGAUAUUAGGAGGAACACCAGUGGCGAAGGCGGCUUACUGGACUGUAACUGACGUUGAGGCUCGAAAGCGUGGGGAGCAAACAGGAUUAGAUACCCCAGUAGUC